This 301-nucleotide ribosomal RNA is filed under the name uncultured bacterium. Its description in RNAcentral is "partial 16S ribosomal RNA". It matches the Rfam family "Bacterial small subunit ribosomal RNA", at positions 510 to 808 of the family's 1533-position model. The record is from RNAcentral.
CGCAGCCGCGGGAAUACGAAGGGUGCAAGCGUUAAUCGGAAUUACUGGGCGUAAAGCGUGCGUAGGCGGCUUGGUAAGUUAGAGGUGAAAGCCUGGAGCUCAACUCCAGAAUUGCCUUUAAGACUGCCGAGCUAGCAGGUGAGAGAGGUAAGUGGAAUUCCGAGUGUAGAGGUGAAAUUCGUAGAUAUUCGGAAGAACACCAGUGGCGAAGGCGGCUUACUGGCUCAUACUGGACGCUGAGGUGCGAAAGCGUGGGGAGCAAACAGGAUUAGAUACCCCUGUAGUCCCUGUCUCUUAUACA